Molecule: ribosomal RNA, 253 nt
Filed under: uncultured bacterium
Lineage: Bacteria
Description: partial 16S ribosomal RNA
Rfam family: Bacterial small subunit ribosomal RNA
Source: RNAcentral
UACGUAGGGGGCAAGCGUUGUCCGGAUUUAUUGGGCGUAAAGCGCGUGUAGGCGGCCACGCAGGUCCGCUGUGAAAACUCGAGGCUCAACCUCGAGCUGUCGGUGGAAACCGCGUGGCUAGAGUCCGGAAGAGGGGACUGGAAUUCCCGGUGUAGCGGUGAAAUGCGCAGAUAUCAGGAAGAACACCCGUGGCGAAGGCGGCUCUCUGGUACGUGACUGACGCUGAGACGCGAAAGCGUGGGGAGCAAACAGG